AUACGUAGGGAGCGAGCGUUGUCCGGAAUUACUGGGCGUAAAGGGCGCGUAGGCGGCGCUUCAAGUCGUCUGUCAAAUGGGAGGGCCUAACCCUUUUUCGCAGACGAAACUGGAGAGCUUGAGAAGCAGAGAGGCAAACAGAAUUCCUGGUGUAGCGGUGAAAUGCGUAGAUAUCAGGAAGAAUACCAGUGGCGAAGGCGGUUUGCUGGCUGCAUACUGACGCUGAAGCGCGAAAGCCAGGGGAGCAAACGGGAUUAGAUACCCCGGUAGUCCUGGCAGUAAACGAUGCAUGCUGGGUGUGAGACUAGCGAUAGUUUCGUGCCGAAGUUAACGCGAUAAGCAUACCGCCUGGGGAGUACGGUCGCGAGAUUGAAACUUAAAUGAAUUGGCGGGG
RNAcentral lists this ribosomal RNA (394 nucleotides) under uncultured bacterium. Its description in RNAcentral is "partial 16S ribosomal RNA". It matches the Rfam family "Bacterial small subunit ribosomal RNA", at positions 523 to 918 of the family's 1533-position model. The record is from RNAcentral.